This 554-nucleotide long non-coding RNA is filed under the name Brachypodium distachyon (stiff brome). RNAcentral's name for it is "long non-coding RNA (BDIS_LNC002981)". Lineage: Eukaryota; Viridiplantae; Streptophyta; Magnoliopsida; Poales; Poaceae. The record is from RNAcentral.
GCAAUGAGUUUCGGUGAAAAUCUAAAGAAACGGAUAAGGGAGGAGAGGCAGAGGCUCAAAGUGACGCCCUUGUAUUUGAGUUUAGUCGAGCGAGGAGGGAGAUCGGGAGACGAAUGCCAUUGCCUAGCAUUAGGGGUGUCAGAUUUCGUAGACAUAUUAAAGGGGAGAAACAGCGGAUUGAUUUUCUGAAUUGUUUCGGAAGUGAAUAGGGAUUAAUUUCCCGGCUUCGAUUUCAGAAAAAGAGAUUGGAAGUUAGGAGAUCCAAUGGGCGGCGGCCGCCAUGGUUGCUGCUGCUUUGCGAGUUCCAGCCAGAUGCCCCGAACAGAGGAAGAAGGAGGUGGGACGAUCGGCCGGGCUGGGUGGGCCGGUGGGCAAGAGUUGGGCUUAGUGGGGCACGGGCCAGGAAGAAAAAGGAAAAAAAGAAGAAGGAUGGAUGGUGGGCUUUACCUGCGUAUGUUAGUGCCUAAACAAAAAGGAUCUUGCGCUUCUCUUAAUCAAAUUCAAAUUGUUGACAAGGUCGUAGCGUGCUGCAUUCAGUUGAUCGAGGUUGCGGG